RNAcentral lists this non-coding RNA (284 nucleotides) under Lachnospiraceae bacterium 9_1_43BFAA. RNAcentral's name for it is "Bacterial large subunit ribosomal RNA". It matches the Rfam family "Bacterial large subunit ribosomal RNA", at positions 2639 to 2925 of the family's 2925-position model. Lineage: Bacteria; Bacillati; Bacillota; Clostridia; Lachnospirales; Lachnospiraceae. The record is from Rfam by way of RNAcentral.
UAUCCGGCGUGGGCGUAGGAUAUUUGAGAGGAGCUGCCCUUAGUACGAGAGGACCGGGGUGGACUGGCCGCUGGUGUAUCUGUUGCACUGCCAAGUGCAUGGCAGAGUAGCCAAGCCGGGACGGGAUAAACGCUGAAGGCAUCUAAGCGUGAAGCCCCCCUCAAGAUGAGAUAUCCCAACGCAAGUUGUAAGACCCCUUGAAGACGACGAGGUAGAUAGGACAGAGGUGGAAGUGCAGUAAUGUAUGGAGCUGACUGUUACUAAUCGGUCGAGGGCAUAACCAA